UACGUAGGGGGCUAGCGUUAUCCGGAAUUACUGGGCGUAAAGGGUGCGUAGGUGGUUUCUUAAGUAAGAGGUGAAAGGCUACGGCUCAACCGUAGUAAGCCUUUGAAACUGGGAAACUUGAGUGCAGGAGAGGAGAGUGGAAUUCCUAGUGUAGCGGUGAAAUGCGUAGAUAUUAGGAGGAACACCAGUUGCGAAGGCGGCUCUCUGGACUGUAACUGACACUGAGGCACGAAAGCGUGGGGAGCAAACAGGAUUAGAUACCCGUGUAGUCCCUGAGCGGG
RNAcentral lists this ribosomal RNA (281 nucleotides) under uncultured prokaryote. RNAcentral's name for it is "partial 16S ribosomal RNA". It matches the Rfam family "Bacterial small subunit ribosomal RNA", at positions 524 to 803 of the family's 1533-position model. The record is from RNAcentral.